CAGAGUAGGAAUGACGCGUAAAGUGCCGCGAAAUGGGAGGUCGUUCGCGGACGAAAGGGCGAAGAUCCGGCGAGACGCCGAAAAAGCCCUGCGGUGUCAUUCCGCAUCCGCUGC
RNAcentral lists this non-coding RNA (114 nucleotides) under bovine gut metagenome. RNAcentral's name for it is "THF riboswitch". It matches the Rfam family "THF (Tetrahydrofolate) riboswitch aptamer". Rfam says of the family: THF riboswitch presents a pseudoknot that joins P1-P2 and the loop of P3 and two THF binding. The record is from RNAcentral.